GCCAUGAGCAGGGCAUGAAAUGGUCUGUCCCAUGCCUUCCUCCAUUAUUUUGGUAGUUAAAUAUUCACUCCAGCACUGCAUACAGAACUUGUGUCCACACUCUAGGCCAGUAAAGUACGAGUUGGGGUAGUUCAGAUAGCAGAUCUGACAAGGCAUAUCCUGAGCUGAUGACCUUGUGUUCAUCUGGCGCGUUCGAGACUUUUUACUUGGAUUAAUUACAUGACACUCCGCAAAGAGCUUUUCCAAGUUGCCAUCGAAGUACCUCUCCAUCAGCUUCUCUUUAUCCCAGUUGAAAUGGCUAAGCAGUAUUCGAGUGAUAGUCGCUGGAUUCUGGAUGACUUCGUUGACCUCGCGGAUGCACUCCACCAUGUGCUGCAGGAUCUGCUCGGCCGUCAGCACCUCGUAGCGGUAGUCCUCCUCCUGCUCGGGGCCGCCGCCGCCGCCGGGGCCCGGCCCGCCGCCCAGCCCUCCGCCGCCGCCCGGGCCCAGCCCGCCCGUCUCGCCGCCCAGCAGCCCGUCCCGCUCGCCGCCGACGCGCAGGCCGGGCUCCACCAGCUCCACCUCGCCCAGGUCCAGGUUAUCGUCAGGCUCGUCCUCUUCGUCGUCCUCGUCGUCCUCCUCCGCGCCGCUGUCCUCGCUGCACUCCUCGUCCUCGUCGAACUCGUAGUUGUAGCCCUCGUCCGAGUCCAUGGCGAGGCGGUGAACUGGAGGCUCCCGCCCGCCCCCCACCCUCACUCCCGGCCCCGCCGCGCCUCGGCCGCCUCAGCGCCAACAAAGAGACGCGGC
Molecule: long non-coding RNA, 786 nt
Filed under: Gallus gallus (chicken)
Lineage: Eukaryota; Metazoa; Chordata; Aves; Galliformes; Phasianidae
Source: RNAcentral